GACGAACGCUGGCGGCGUGCUUAACACAUGCAAGUCGAACGGAAAGGCCCUGCUUUUGUGGGGUGCUCGAGUGGCGAACGGGUGAGUAACACGUGAGUAACCUGCCCUUGACUUUGGGAUAACUUCAGGAAACUGGGGCUAAUACCGGAUAGGAGCUCCUGCUGCAUGGUGGGGGUUGGAAAGUUUCGGCGGUUGGGGAUGGACUCGCGGCUUAUCAGCUUGUUGGUGGGGUAGUGGCUUACCAAGGCUUUGACGGGUAGCCGGCCUGAGAGGGUGACCGGCCACAUUGGGACUGAGAUACGGCCCAGACUCCUACGGGAGGCAGCGGUGGGGAAUAUUGCACAAUGGGCGGAAGCCUGAUGCAGCAACGCCGCGUGCGGGAUGACGGCCUUCGGGUUGUAAACCGCCUUCGCCUGUGACGAAGCGUGAGUGACGGUAAUGGGUAAAGAAGCACCGGCUAACUACGUG
This 468-nucleotide ribosomal RNA is filed under the name uncultured bacterium. RNAcentral's name for it is "partial 16S ribosomal RNA". It matches the Rfam family "Bacterial small subunit ribosomal RNA", at positions 28 to 507 of the family's 1533-position model. The record is from RNAcentral.